UACGUAGGGUGCGAGCGUUGUCCGGAAUUAUUGGGCGUAAAGAGCUUGUAGGCGGUUUGUCGCGUCUGCCGUGAAAUUUCGAGGCUCAACCUCGAACUUGCGGUGGGUACGGGCAGACUAGAGUGUGGUAGGGGAGACUGGAAUUCCUGGUGUAGCGGUGAAAUGCGCAGAUAUCAGGAGGAACACCGAUGGCGAAGGCAGGUCUCUGGGCCACUACUGACGCUGAUGCACGAAAGCUAGGGGAGCAAACAGG
This 253-nucleotide ribosomal RNA is filed under the name uncultured bacterium. RNAcentral's name for it is "partial 16S ribosomal RNA". It matches the Rfam family "Bacterial small subunit ribosomal RNA", at positions 524 to 776 of the family's 1533-position model. The record is from RNAcentral.